AUACGGAGGAUGCAAGCGUUAUCCGGAUUUAUUGGGUUUAAAGGGUGCGUAGGCGGUUUGCUAAGCGGGAGGUGAAAUGCCGGCGCUCAACGUCGGAAGUGCCUCCCGAACUGGUGGACUGGAAUGACUCUGCCGUGGGAGGAAUGUGUAGUGUAGCGGUGAAAUGCUUAGAGAUUACACAGAACACCGAUUGCGAAGGCAUCUCACGAAGGGUUGAUUGACGCUGAGGCACGAAAGCGUGGGGAUCAAACAGGAUUAGAUACCCUGGCAGUCCACGCAGUAAACGAUGAUGGCUAACCGCUGGUUUUUUCGGAUCAGUGGCCAAGCGAAAGCGAUAAGCCAUCCACCUGGGGAGUACGACCGCAAGGUUGAAACUCAAAUGAAUUGGCGGGG
Molecule: ribosomal RNA, 393 nt
Filed under: uncultured bacterium
Lineage: Bacteria
Description: partial 16S ribosomal RNA
Rfam family: Bacterial small subunit ribosomal RNA
Source: RNAcentral